Long non-coding RNA from Magnolia sinica, 332 nucleotides. RefSeq lists it as uncharacterized. The record is from RefSeq and is a predicted model, not a curated record. Lineage: Eukaryota; Viridiplantae; Streptophyta; Magnoliopsida; Magnoliales; Magnoliaceae. The transcript has 3 exons.
GUAAUAAGAUAAAUACGGAAAAUCGGAGAAAACAACGCAUUAGCCACACUGCAGGCACGAAGAGCUUUGCGCGAAUACGUGAAGAAGAGAAAAACAAGAGGGCCAAUGGGGAGGAUUUGACCUAAGUAGAUAUGUUCUUGUUGACACAUAGACGCAAGAAUGGGAUGCCUGUGGAUGAGGCCUCAGCAAGAGCAAUGGAACAAUUAAAUGAACGAACUUCGCAGCAGCCAGAGGCUUCACAUAAUAGCACUGCGAGGAAAGAUAUAUUCUCAGAAGUCAUGGGUGACGAACGACAUGGCCGUGUCCGCACUUAUGGGUUUGGUCCCUCUCCU